CUUGUGUUAGUUUUUUUGAAACCGUGCCGAAUAACAAUAAUGAUGAUGAUGUUCGAUUCGAACCCCCGGAACAGUGAACAUAAGAGAAGUGUCACUGUCGUCAUACCGAAGAAACACCAAACAACAAUGGUUUGUCUACGGAAUUCAAAUCAUCCGCGCGAUAUUCGUACCGGAAGCAUUCGGUGUUUAGCGGAAUUAUCACCGAGUUUCUAUACGUGUUCGUUUCAGACGAAACCGCCGAGUGCUCGAAGUAAAAUCGAGUUCUUGGACGAAGCCGGGCGCACGUGCGUUCGCGAGCACGUAACCAAAUUUUCAAGUCGAGUGUCUAUUUCCGAAUUCGGUCCGAGAACUUUUUCCAAAAAUGAGUGCGCAAGUA
Non-coding RNA from Cinara cedri, 376 nucleotides. The record is from the annotation of a GenBank genome assembly. Lineage: Eukaryota; Metazoa; Arthropoda; Insecta; Hemiptera; Aphididae.